Anguilla anguilla (European eel) is the source of this 1203-nucleotide long non-coding RNA. RefSeq lists it as uncharacterized. The record is from RefSeq and is a predicted model, not a curated record. The transcript has 4 exons. NCBI's taxonomy places the organism in Eukaryota, Metazoa, Chordata, Actinopteri, Anguilliformes, Anguillidae.
AGCAAGUGUGGUUCAGUCAAGACUAGCUAAAAGGUAACGCGGAGGUUCGAUCACGAGGCUAAAUUGCUAAAGAUGUCCGUAGCUAAGAAGUGUGUGCAGAAUGGACAGUGAGGUAAAGGCUGCAGCAGCGGAGGAUCGGGAUUCUCUGCUCGUCCUGCGGCUGAUGAAUGAACUGCGGAGAGGCUGACGCCGCAUGAAUAUGAAAGCCUUGCAGCUCCGCAGGAGUGCCAGCGCAGGCAGACCGUGUGAGAGCCCAUGCGCCUGCAGAAUGCAGUGCGAGCGCUGCCUCAUUACCACUGGGGGAGGAGUGCAAUCAGCAUGCGACAGAGCGAGACAGGAGAGGAGGCACUGUCGGAUGGAUGUGCUGCCGAAGAGACGGACUAAGCUUCAGCCAUGGCCUGCAGAGUGGAUCCAGCCAUCUGCUCCACGUCCAUCCACACCUUUAUGCCAGCGUUCUGCCCGGCCAGGGUCACCCGCAUGAGACAAGACAAGGCACAGAAUGCAUGCAGCUACUGGAGCGGCAGCCUGUACCUGUGCCCCCCUCUCUCACAAGCUGGUCGCCAAGGCUACGUUGACCCUUAUCAUCCUCAUGUUGGAAAUACAACUGGCACAAUUUCUUCAGAAGAUCUACAGCAUCUUCAUUGUCAUACCUAUAAAAGAAAACAUAAAAUAACUUCAAUACUUUGGAAAAGUUACAAGCAUGAAUGCAUGGGAUAUAAUUGCUCUAUUUUAUAUUAAAGCACAUGCAUGUAUGCUUGUGUGUGAGAAUGAUACAGCAUUAAAAUCCUUACACCGGAAUCCUUUGCUCUCCUUCUGUUGUUGCAUGUUCCCCAAUUAACAGAUAAAAUUGAUCUACAUUUACUUGUGUUGAUUUAAACAUGUCCAUGUACAGUAUUGCCGACAUAAUACACAAGGUGACAUGUAAAGCAGACAAAAAUGUACAGUACCUCUUUAGAUCUUUGAGUGAUUUCAAGAUUUCAAGAGCCAUAGUAUGUAAGUCUACUUGAAGAAAAUAUUUCCUUGGCAAAAAAUACAAUUAAACACCAUUAUUACAAUGACUGGACAAAAUCACAUUAGUUUUACAGAAAAAGUCAAUUUGUGUAAAGGCUUCUUAUUUCACUAUGCAGUUAGUAAUAGUCUUACUAAACAGCAUCAUACAAUUUAAAGAAAACAGGAUAAAAUGAAGUACCAAAUAAAGGCAUU